AAGUAUUAAAUGGCCGCGGUAUUCUGACCGUGCAAAGGUAGCAUAAUCGUUAGUUUCUUAAUUGGGAUCUUGUAUGAAUGGUUGGAUGAAAGAAAAACUGUCUUUAUAAUUAAAAUAGAAUUUAACUUUUAAGUGAAAAGGCUUAAAUGUAUUAAAGGGACGAUAAGACCCUAUAAAGCGUUUCAUUGGGGCGAUGAAAGUAAAAUGAAUAACUGCUUUAUUUUCCAGACAUUAAUACAUGGAAAGAUCCUAGAUAAAGAUUUAGAGAUUAAGUUACUUUAGGGAUAACAGCGUUAUUUUUUUUGAGAGUUCUUAUCGAAAAAAAAGUUUGCGACCUCGAUGUUGAAUUAAAAUUUCUCUAUAAUUGUAGGUGUUAUAGAAGAAGGUCUGUUCGACCUUUAAAUUUUU
This 408-nucleotide ribosomal RNA is filed under the name Grapsus albolineatus. Its description in RNAcentral is "partial 16S large subunit ribosomal RNA". It matches the Rfam family "Bacterial large subunit ribosomal RNA", at positions 1915 to 2597 of the family's 2925-position model. The record is from RNAcentral. Lineage: Eukaryota; Metazoa; Arthropoda; Malacostraca; Decapoda; Grapsidae.